Molecule: non-coding RNA, 767 nt
Organism: Lactuca sativa (garden lettuce)
Lineage: Eukaryota; Viridiplantae; Streptophyta; Magnoliopsida; Asterales; Asteraceae
Source: RefSeq, a predicted model, not a curated record
ACACCACUGCUUUCCACCAACGACUACUUUAAUUUACCGCCACCGACAUCUCCAUCACCACCUUGCACCAUCGCACCUCGAUGCUACACCGUCAACAUCAUCAUCAACGAAGGGCAAUCCACAUUAUCUGCAACUUGCAAUGUACGAGAGGUAUUUUAAAAUCAUAUUUAAUCUUUUCGUUUUAUUUGAUUCUCCUUAUCUCUAUUUGUUGUGUAUGUGAUAAGAUCUAUGUGUCUAUGUGUAAUUUUAUCACUGAUUCAGAUAGACUUUGAUAUGCAUUAUACCCAUACCUUCAUUCGUUCUUCCAAUUUACCUCCUAAUUUAUUUAUUUCUAUAUUUUUUAAACGGCUUCCAAGUUGUCGAUUGUAUGAGUGGUUCUAAUUUCUGCUACUGGAAUUUGGUUUUCAGAGAUGUGUUAAUCGAGUUGUUGCUCCUAAUGUUGGCUGCAAUUCAAAGUAUAUUACUAUAGCAAGGUAGUACAAGAAAAUGCAUUGCUAUUGAUGGAUUAGUCUGGAAAGUACUUUGACAAGGUGAUAUUCACAUUUGUAGUAUUUGGGGGUGUUAUUGUACUUUGGUUACAUGGUCUUAAUCCCCUCACGUGGCUUUCCAAACAUACACCUCAUUUGAUUGCCCCAUUAUGUACUUGUGACCCUCGUGUCAAUCUCAUAUAUAUAACUUUUUUCUUGAUUUGUAAUAUAUAGAUAUAAUCAUUCAAAUGCAUCAUUAGUUUUUAGAACAUGUAUGGUGUUUUAUUUGGAAAAUUAAUU